AGAGUUUGAUCAUGGCUCAGGACGAACGCUGGCGGCGCGCCUAAUACAUGCAAGUCGAACGGGCUGCCUUCGGGCAGCCAGUGGCGGACGGGUGAGUAACACGUGGGUGACCUGCCCUGAAGUGGGGAAUAACGCUGCGAAAGCAGCGCUAAUACCGCAUAUGCUUAGCGCUUCAGUGCGCUAAGUAGAGCCUUGUGCGCUUCAGGAGGGGCCUGCGGCCGAUUAGCUAGUCGGGGGGGUAACGGCCCACCGAGGCGACGAUCGGUAGCUGGUCUGAGAGGAUGAUCAGCCACACUGGGACUGAGACACGGCCCAGACUCCUACGGGAGGCAGCAGUAAGGAAUCUUCCACAAUGGGCGCAAGCCUGAUGGAGCGACGCCGCGUGCGCGAAGAAGCCCUUCGGGGUGUAAAGCGCUUUUCCCAGGGAUGAAGAUCUGACAGUACCUGGGGAAGAAGCCUCGGCUAACUACGUGCCAGCCGCCGCGGUAAUAC
Molecule: ribosomal RNA, 492 nt
Filed under: uncultured bacterium
Lineage: Bacteria
Description: bacterial SSU rRNA
Rfam family: Bacterial small subunit ribosomal RNA
Source: RNAcentral